CAGGAACAUUUUCAAUGUAUUAGGUUUAUCCAACUCGUUGAGAAUUCCCGCUAGUGAAUUUUUGGUAUAUGGCUUUGCCUUACAAAACAACAAACAAGUUUGACCUCAAAUCAGGUAGGAUUACCCGCUGAACUUAAGCAUAUCAAUAAGCGGAGGAAAAGAAACCAACAGGGAUUGUCUUAGUAACGGCGAGUGAAGCGACAAAAGCUCAAAUUUGAAAUCUGGCGCCUUCGGUGUCCGAGUUGUAAUUUGAAGAAGGUAACUUUGGUUUUGGCUCUUGUCUAUGUUCCUUGGAACAGGACGUCACAGAGGGUGAGAAUCCCGUGCGAUGAGAUGCCCAAUUCCAUGUAAAGUGCUUUCGAAGAGUCGAGUUGUUUGGGAAUGCAGCUCUAAGUGGGUGGUAAAUUCCAUCUAAAGCUAAAUAUUGGCGAGAGACCGAUAGCGAACAAGUACAGUGAUGGAAAGAUGAAAAGAACUUUGAAAAGAGAGUGAAAAAGUACGUGAAAUUGUUGAAAGGGAAGGGUUUGAGAUCAGACUUGGUAUUUUGUAUGUUUUACUCUCGGGUGAGGCCUCUGCAGUUUACUGGGCCAGCAUCAGUUUGGAUGGUAGGAUAAUGACAUUGGAAUGUGGCUCUUCGGAGUGUUAUAGCCCUUGUUGAUACUGCCUAUCUAGACUGAGGACUGCGUCUUUGACUAGAU
RNAcentral lists this ribosomal RNA (698 nucleotides) under Scheffersomyces coipomensis. Its description in RNAcentral is "LSU rRNA". The stretch from base 101 to 698 matches the Rfam family "Eukaryotic large subunit ribosomal RNA", at positions 1 to 606 of the family's 3401-position model. The record is from RNAcentral. Lineage: Eukaryota; Fungi; Ascomycota; Pichiomycetes; Serinales; Debaryomycetaceae.